Molecule: ribosomal RNA, 468 nt
Filed under: uncultured bacterium
Lineage: Bacteria
Description: partial 16S ribosomal RNA
Rfam family: Bacterial small subunit ribosomal RNA
Source: RNAcentral
GACGAACGCUGGCGGCGUGCUUAACACAUGCAAGUCGAACGGAAAGGCCCUGCUUUUGUGGGGUGCUCGAUUGGCGAACGGGUGAGUAACACGUGAGUAACCUGCCCUUGACUUUGGGAUAACUUCAGGAAACUGGGGCUAAUACCCGAUAGGAUCUCCUGCUGCAUGGGGGGGGUUGGAAAGUUUCGGCGGUUGGGGAUGGACUCGCGGCUUAUCAGCUUGUUUGGGGGGUAGUGGCUUACCAAGGGUUUGACGGGUAGCCGGCCUGAGAGGGUGACCGGCCACAUUGGGACUGAGAUACGGACCAGAAUCCUACGGGCGGCAGCAGUGGGGAAUAUUGCACAAUGGGCGGAAGCCUGAUGCAGCAACGCCGCGUGCGGGAUGACGGCCUUCGGGUUGUAAACCGCUUUCGCAUGUGACGAAGCGUGAGUGACGGUAAUGGGUAAAGAAGCACCGGCUAACUACGUG